GGGGAUUUAGCUCAGCGGCAUAAGCGCCUGCCUUGCAAGUAUGUGGUUGUGAGUUCAAUCCCCA
RNAcentral lists this transfer RNA (64 nucleotides) under Cavia porcellus (domestic guinea pig). It matches the Rfam family "tRNA", at positions 1 to 62 of the family's 71-position model. From Rfam's summary of the family: Transfer RNA (tRNA) molecules are approximately 80 nucleotides in length. Lineage: Eukaryota; Metazoa; Chordata; Mammalia; Rodentia; Caviidae. The record is from Rfam by way of RNAcentral.